UACGUAGGGUGCGAGCGUUAAUCGGAAUUACUGGGCGUAAAGCGUGCGCAGGCGGUUAUAUAAGACAGUUGUGAAAUCCCCGGGCUCAACCUGGGAAUUGCAUCUGUGACUGUAUAGCUAGAGUACGGUAGAGGGGGAUGGAAUUCCGAGUGUAGAGGUGAAAUUCGUAGAUAUUCGGAGGAACACCAGUGGCGAAGGCGGCUCACUGGUCCAUUACUGACGCUGAGGUGCGAAAGCGUGGGGAGCAAACAGG
RNAcentral lists this ribosomal RNA (253 nucleotides) under uncultured bacterium. RNAcentral's name for it is "partial 16S ribosomal RNA". It matches the Rfam family "Bacterial small subunit ribosomal RNA", at positions 524 to 776 of the family's 1533-position model. The record is from RNAcentral.